This 499-nucleotide ribosomal RNA is filed under the name uncultured bacterium. RNAcentral's name for it is "partial 16S ribosomal RNA". It matches the Rfam family "Bacterial small subunit ribosomal RNA", at positions 30 to 523 of the family's 1533-position model. The record is from RNAcentral.
AUUGAACGCUGGCGGUAUGCUUAACACAUGCAAGUCGAACGAUGAGAAAGAGCUUGCUCUUUCGAUUAGUGGCGGACGGGUGCGUAACGCGUAGGAAUCUACCUAUUAGUGGGGGACAACUUAGGGAAACUUAAGCUAAUACCGCAUACGCCCUACGGGGGAAAGAAGGGGAUCGCAAGACCUUUUGCUAAUAGAUGAGCCUGCGUAGGAUUAGCUAGUUGGUGGGGUAAAAGCUCACCAAGGCGACGAUCCUUAACUGGUUUGAGAGAAUGAUCAGUCACACUGGAACUGAGACACGGUCCAGACUCCUACGGGAGGCAGCAGUGGGGAAUAUUGGACAAUGGGCGAAAGCCUGAUCCAGCAAUGCCGCGUGUGCGAAGAAGGCCUUAGGGUUGUAAAGCACUUUCAAUUGGAAGGAAAACCUCGAAGCUAAUACCUUCGAGUUUGACAUUACCUUUAGAAGAAGCACCGGCUAACUCCGUGCCAGCAGCCGCAGUAA